This is a long non-coding RNA of Oncorhynchus tshawytscha (Chinook salmon), 591 nucleotides long. NCBI's taxonomy places the organism in Eukaryota, Metazoa, Chordata, Actinopteri, Salmoniformes, Salmonidae. The record is from Ensembl.
GGCAGAGCCCCUAGGUCCUGGAGGACAUCAGGUGGGUGUUGGGCAGAGCCCCUAGGUCCUGGAGGACAUCAGGUGGGUGUUGGGCAGAGCCCCUAGGUCCUGGAGAACAGGUAACGGAGGACAUCAGGUGGGUGUUGGGCAGAACCCCUAGGUCCUGGAGAACAGGUAAUGGAGGACAUCAGGUGGGUGUUGGGCAGAACCCCUAGGUCCUGGAGAACAGGUAACGGAGGACAUCGGUGGAUCUGGGUGUUGGGUUGAACCCCCUAGGUCCUGGAGAACAUCAGUUGGGUUUGGGUGUUGGGCAGAACCCCCUAGGUCCUGGAGAACAUCAGUUGGGUCUGGGUGUUGGGUUGAACCCCCUAGGUCCUGGAGAACAUCAGUUGGGUCUGGGUGUUGGGCAGAACCCCUAGGUCCUGGAGAUCAAGAGCAGAGUUAGAGGUUAGGAGACAGACGUCAACAAGCAAACACACAGUUUACACUUUACUGGGAGAACAUUUUGAUGGAUUAGUGCAGUGUUAUAAAUGGGAGAUAUUUACUUUUCAACACUUGGAUGGUACAGCCUACCUCAAGCUGGUCCCCCUCUGACUCCGA